Acipenser ruthenus (sterlet) is the source of this 451-nucleotide long non-coding RNA. RefSeq lists it as uncharacterized. NCBI's taxonomy places the organism in Eukaryota, Metazoa, Chordata, Actinopteri, Acipenseriformes, Acipenseridae. The transcript has 4 exons. The record is from RefSeq and is a predicted model, not a curated record.
AGUAUAAAAAUCGUCCACGUACAGAGCUAAGUAUUACACUUCUGGAAAAAGGACGAAUCCUCUCAAAGAUACCUUAUCCCGUAAAGAACCACUUCAGCUAUAAAUGGACGUUGAAUCAAGCCACAGCAAUGAGGAUCUAAACGAUAUCCAGGAAUUUAUUGAAGAACAUUUAAUUUCACACCAGGAGGAAGUAAUUGAGCAUCCUCCUAUGCUCAUUCCCCUCUCACCUACAAUCAUUCCAUUGUCCCCGACAUUUUUUUUGGAUAGUCAGAAUGAUACAAUCCCAGGGCACAGCAUUUCCCUUGAGCUACCGUGCGAUCUAAUCGUGCCUGAGGACUUUUUAAAUAAUUUCUCAGUGAUAACAGAAAAGCCGGAAAAAGCUGAAUAUAUUGAAGAUUCUGAGCUUUUGGAACAGUACUUCAAGACAUCCUUCAGUGAUCUAGCGUCAGAC